Carcharodon carcharias (great white shark) is the source of this 3078-nucleotide long non-coding RNA. RefSeq lists it as uncharacterized. Lineage: Eukaryota; Metazoa; Chordata; Chondrichthyes; Lamniformes; Lamnidae. The record is from RefSeq and is a predicted model, not a curated record. The transcript has 3 exons.
UUGUGCUGUCUCCCUUGUGCACAAGUAAUAAAUGGGGUUUCUACGUACGAAAUGAUGCCUCGGUGUGAUUAAUCUCCGACAGUUUCUUGGAGGUCCCACCAAGAUGACUAACCCCUGGGGUUGGGUCACGGAGCGCCAGCGUUAGGACAUCGCGGCUCAAGGACUCCUCAGUCUGCGGCAGCCCGAUUUGGGCUUCUGGGGUUCGUUGACCCGUGAAAUGUCUUCGCCUGCCUGUGGCUGACUCUUAGGCGAUACUGGAGCGACUUAUCCUACCCUUCGGCCUGUUGAGGCUCCUGAUGUCAUCCCCUUUAGGGAUUCGAUUUCUGUCAUUGGGAGUCUCGGGGCAACCGCUUUCGCUGCCAGUUUCCGAAGAAGUGCCCUUUGACCUGAACGUAAGAAAAGGAUCCCAUCGAUUCCUCCUUGGGGCUGAUGUCCCGGUCAAUCUUUUGGGUCGUGAUCUCCUCUGCAAACUCGGUUGCACUUUAGACUGCUCUAAUAAUUCUAUCCCUCUUCAAGUUCCCGAGUCUACUUACUCCACAGUCAUCGGCCUUCUACAGGAAGAUACUUUGCGUCAUUUGGUUUGGUGGUGGAAUUUCGGACACUGCGAUUUAUCCGAUAAACUCAAGACUGCACUACUCCAGCUUCUGACCAACCGCUGUGUUCCUGCCAGGAUAGCCAUCCACCCACCCACCCCUGCAACACUGGCUUCGGGAUCUUCACUGUACAGUGCACUACUCUGCCUGCUCGGAUCAUCAGUAUGCCCAUGAGAUAAAAGGCCAUCUGGCUUGCAUUCACAGGUGGUAGAAGCUAAGAAAAAGCCCACCAUUGAAGAUUGCCAUCAAUACCAGCCCGGGGACCUAGUCCUGGUAAAGACCUUCAGGAGAAAGAAUUGUUUGGAAUCUCGAUGGGAGGGGCCUUUCCAAGUCCUGCUCACCACCCAUACGGCCGUGAAGGUUGAAGGACGACCCUUGUGGAUCCAUGCCUUGCACGUCAAGCGGACGCUGACCUUGGACGGAAAUACUUGAGCAGGAACCUUGACUGAGCCAUCAGAAUGUUGACUCUGAUUUGGAUCCUGUCCUGUGUGGUCCUUGCAGAGGCAUGGACUACCAAUUCCGCGGUUCAAUGGAUGCAGGCCAUAGCCUCGCAAGUUAAUCGAACUAAAUGUUGGAUUUGUACUCAUUUUCCCGUUAACCCUUCCUCCUCAGAGAUGCAUUUUUUAGCUUUCCCCUCAGGUUCCGCAUGGUCCCAAUGUAAUUCCGGGGCCCUCAUCCAUCAAAUGCCCAUUUGGAGACGGGAGCCCACUUUUGUGGUUGUUAAGGGGCCAGCCUGGCUAUGUGUCAGGAGAAAUUAUACCAAGGGUAGUACUCGGCUGAGUGAGUUGCCAUUGGGUUCCUGUGCCUACCUUGCUGAUUAUGACCACUGGGAGGGUCAAUUUCUGUUCCACAACCAGUCUGGUCCUAUGACUGCCUUUUGGGAGUGCAAGGCCAAUGAGACGGUAUGUCUUUCGCAGGUCCCGAGAUCUGAGGCUAAUCUCACAUACUUUAACGUGAGUGGGUGUGAUUGCCAAUGAUUGUACAAUCUCACCUCAAAUUAUUCCACCUCCACUUGAACCUCGAAUGGCUGCUACACUGAAGAAUCUGGGCCUUGCAAUUACAAAAAUCAGUCCAGUUGCCCCGACUUGCUAGUCCUGCGAGUGUUGCAGCUCAGUCAGACCUGCCGCAUCCGCUGGUAUGCCCGGGCAAAUUCUUCUCUCGUCUGGAAGUGGCUUAACUUUUGUCAAAAUUCCACUUAUUGGUGCCCUACCCUUGUCCACAAUGGCUCAUCCUGGCUUUGUGGAGACAGGACGUACAAAACCCUCCCUAUCGAUUGGGCAGGCACCUGCACCAUUGGCUAUAUUGACCCUGAGGCCUUUGGGGUCGAGCGCCUUGCCAUCCACUCUCCCCACAACCAUCGAGGGCCUGUGAGGCAUCAUAAACAAUCAACCUAGAACCCGCUUGUUACCCGUAACACCAGAUUCCACAACUUUGUCCGAGCCCUCAUCCCAGGUCUAGGGGUCUCAGAACUGGAAAAGGCCAUUGUUAAUAUCUCUGCUACAAUGGAACUUAUUGAGAAUAAGACUGUUGACGCCAUUCAGAGUCUGCAGUUGGAGGCUAAGUCCCUUUCCAAGGUUGUCCUCCAGAACCAUAUGGCCCUGGACUUCCUGCUAGCAGCGCAGGGGGGAGUCUGUGCAGCUAUUAAUGAAACGUGUUGUUUCUGCAUUAACAAGGACCAGAGGAUUGAGACUGAUGUACAUUUCAUUCAGGACCAGGUGUGCCUCCUCCAUGCAGCUGCCCAGGAAAAAUCCUUUGACUGGUGGGGGUGGCUCCCUAAUAUCGGUGGGUGGUUUGGGGGCCUUUUUAAAACCCUCCUCAAAUACCUUGUCACAGGUCCUGCCCUAUUCAUUGUCCUGUAUGUAGUUAUCCAGCUUGUCCUCUGUUGUAUCCGCUCUGUCUGCCGAUUACAGAACCUCCAGAGUCCUGGUGGCAAGACAGCUAUCCACUCCCUCCCUCUCCUCAGGAAUCAGGACCCCACUGAGGAUCAAGCCCAGCGACUAGGAUACAUAGAACUUGGCUAAGGGUGGUGGAUUGUCCUUUUAGGACAAAAGUGGGGGAAAUGUGGUGGCCUAGGCAACUGCAGGGAGCCCAGUUGGUGCUGGAAGGGUUAAUGAGAAGUUGAUUGUACGCCUCGGCUUAAGAGAAAAAUACUACAACCUUGAGAUGAAUACAAUCUUGCCUGGCCACAGUUGCAGGAUGAGCCCUGAGACAUUCCAUUUUGUUUUUCUCAGGCCGAAUGUAAUCAGGGUUGUGAUAAACAACUGCGUAACCAAACAUCUGUUGAGAGGGAAAUGGAAAUUUACUGGAACAUGGAUUGGUCAGUUAACUUAAGCAAAUGUAUGGAUAGGUUUGUUACAAAACUUACUGAUUGGCUGUAAAAAUGCUUUUAACAAGUCUGCAUGUAUUCUGCCAAGAGACUGUACAGUAGCUCUCAUUGUGCUGUCUCCCUUGUGCAGAAGCAAUAAAUGGGUUUCUAUGUAAGAAA